AGAGUUUGAUCCUGGCUCAGGACGAACGCUGGCGGCGUGCUUAACACAUGCAAGUCGAACGAGGUGCUUGCACCUAGUGGCGAACGGGUGAGUAACACGUGAGCAACCUGCCCCUGGCUCUGGGAUAGCCUCCGGAAACGGGGAUUAAUACCGGACAUGACUCCUUCCCGCAUGGGUUGGGGUGGAAAGUUUUUCGGCUG
Molecule: ribosomal RNA, 200 nt
Filed under: uncultured bacterium
Lineage: Bacteria
Description: partial 16S ribosomal RNA
Rfam family: Bacterial small subunit ribosomal RNA
Source: RNAcentral